This is a non-coding RNA of Phasianus colchicus (ring-necked pheasant), 12363 nucleotides long. NCBI's taxonomy places the organism in Eukaryota, Metazoa, Chordata, Aves, Galliformes, Phasianidae. The record is from RefSeq and is a predicted model, not a curated record.
GCGGGGGGGCGUGUCCGGCGGCGCUGCGAGCGGCUUGUUGUGCGCUGCGGAGCCGUUCGCCUCCCGCUGCACGGCCGCGCCGAACCGCAGCGAGACACGUUAUAAGAUGUCUAAUGGUUAUGAAGAUCACAUGGCUGAAGAUUGCAGAGAUGACAUCGGCAGAACAAAUCUCAUUGUGAACUACCUCCCCCAGAACAUGACGCAGGAUGAGCUACGGAGCCUAUUUAGCAGUAUUGGCGAAGUUGAAUCUGCAAAGCUGAUUCGGGACAAAGUUGCAGGACACAGCUUAGGCUAUGGCUUUGUGAACUACGUCACUGCAAAAGAUGCAGAAAGAGCAAUAAACACACUGAAUGGCCUCAGACUGCAGUCAAAAACCAUCAAGGUCUCCUAUGCUCGUCCAAGUUCUGAAGUUAUCAAGGACGCUAAUUUAUACAUCAGUGGGCUCCCGAGGUCGAUGACACAGAAGGAUGUAGAAGAUAUGUUCUCACGUUUUGGGCGCAUCAUCAAUUCCCGUGUACUCGUGGAUCAAACCACAGGUUUAUCCAGAGGGGUCGCAUUUAUCCGGUUUGACAAAAGGUCAGAAGCAGAAGAGGCAAUUACAAAUUUCAAUGGUCACAAACCCCCAGGUUCCUCCGAACCCAUCACGGUGAAGUUUGCAGCCAAUCCCAACCAGAACAAAAACGUGGCACUGUUGUCCCAGCUGUGUCAUUCACCAGCGAGGCGGUUCGGAGGGCCGGUCCACCACCAGGCGCAGAGAUUCAGGUUCUCUCCUAUGGGUGUAGAUCACAUGAGUGGGCUUUCUGGUGUAAAUGUUCCAGGAAACGCAUCUUCUGGCUGGUGUAUCUUCAUCUACAACCUUGGUCAAGAUGCUGAUGAGGGAAUCCUCUGGCAGAUGUUUGGCCCCUUUGGUGCGGUUACCAAUGUGAAAGUUAUUCGGGAUUUCAACACCAACAAGUGCAAAGGUUUUGGUUUUGUGACCAUGACAAACUAUGAAGAAGCUGCAAUGGCCAUAGCAAGUCUUAAUGGCUACCGCCUGGGGGACAAAAUCUUACAGGUUUCCUUCAAAACCAACAAGUCCCACAAAUAACUUGCUCGUGCUUUUUGUAUGGAAUAGAUAAUGGAGUGACAGAAGUUGAAACAUUUUUGUUAGUGUAAAACUCAUUUUGCGCCAAUUUUCACAAGUGUUUGUCUUAGUCUAAAUGAGAAGUGGAAAAGGUUUUAUAUUCUGGGAUGCAACUGACAUGUUCAAAUGUUUGAAAUCCCACAAUGUUAGACCAAUUUUAAGUUGCUUUAAGUUAUUUCAUUUAAAAACAUGUUAAAAAAAAAAUAAUAAUAACAAUCCCCUGAAAUCUGAAGUAGAUUGCAUUUAACUAGACCCUCUGGAUGGUGGUAAAAUUGAAGCAUGCUUUCACUUAUGAGACUAACAUUUGUUCCAUUGAAUGUUGUCUGCAAAAACUGGAAUCUCUUCUAAAAACUAUCAGGCUGAAUUAAUGGAUUUGCUUGUUUCUCAUGUUGUUGUUUUUCUCACCCAUUCUCCUGACCCCUCUGCCCCCCCCUCCCCCUCCCCAACUCGCUAGUAUGGAAGAAAAGUUGAGAAAUACUAAUGUUUUAGUUGACAGUAAAUUUGUUUUGCCGAUUAAUACUCAUUGCUACGUGUCGUUGAGGAUUACGCUUUAUAAAGUCGAGGUCUUGUAAGUAGUAGCAUGCCAGCAUAACUUUUAACACCAUUGAUGAGGUAAGUUGCACACCGAGCAGUGGCCAAGCUGUCAAAUUGAAAGGUUUUAGCAACAUUUCCUUUUAAAGCCCAACAUUUUUAAUAGGAAUGGACCAAAGAGUUUCAAAGAAACUCCGGGAAGAUUUCAGAGUCAAAAUGAAACUCCACAAAAGUGUGAAUAUGUGUCGCUACGUUAUCAAACUGAAUCUCUUCUGUCCAGAUAUUUAAUGCAUGGUGCACUACUUACUGGUACAUUAUAACGCAGCAAGAUACUCGUUUUCAAAGAUCAUUAUAGUCUGAAUUCCUUUGGUAGUUCUAUUUUGUAAAGAAAAAAAAAAAAUUGUAAACAUUUGAGCAUUGUAUUUCUCGCAUCCCUUCUAAUGAGUGCUAGAUUUUUCUAUUUUAAUAGGAUUUUGUUUUGACAACUAGCUUUACUUAUUGAACACUCAGCAGAAAAGUACUUACGACUUGCAAGUUAGAUAUUAACAAAGAAAACCCUUUGAUUUGUAGAUUUAAAGAUUAAUCCCCCAAGUUUUCUGCAGACUGCCUUGAAACUUUGAGUUGUUCUGUUUCUGUUAAUUUUCUUUUGCUUUUUUGUGUUUUUUGUUUGUUUUUACUUUUGCAUUUAAGAACAUUAAAUUUGAUUUUGUUUUGCUCAAAUUUUGUUUUGUUUUUUAUUUUCUGUUAUUUUUUUGCUUAAGUAUUGCACAAAACGUCCAGCUUUCAAGAAAGUGUUGUUUUAUAAAGAGCGUAGUUCCUCUUAAAGAGUCUUAAUUUCGUCCUUUGACAGAUGAGUAGAAGAAAAAGGGAUGUGAAAUGAGAGCACUACAGUACCUCUGUCACUUAGGGCCUAUGUUCCACGGGCUGAUGUAACCCUGCGGUGCUCUUUGGCAGGCCUGGGAAGGACUGUUGGGUACAGGCUGUGUAAGGAUGCUGUGCGUGGUAGAGACAUGCUCUGUGCAACCUGCAGGUAGGUUCAGUUGCCAAAAAAUUAGGGCAAAUGGGAAAACCGGGUCAGUUCUAUUGCAGUGUCUCCUUUUUGUGUGAACCUCUGCCAGUCCCACGCUGUGCCAGAGGCUGAUCCUGGCUGCCUGCAGCGCUCCCAUCCCCUGCUGACCUUGCCUUGCCUUGGGAGAACCUCACUUUCCUUCUUGCAGCAGGACUAGCAGUCACCCCGGGAAACCAGCACCUUCAUUUCUGCACACCACAGCCUGAGAGCAGCUGAACGCACUGCCCAGCCCUGGUACUUGCUCUCAGCACUGCCUGGGAACUGCUGCUGCUGCUAGCUGUGGGUAUGGAUAGGGCGCAGUGAGUGUGCUCCCACUGCCUUUUGAGCGGUGAACUCGGGCAGUGCUGUGCCCUUCUGCACCUUCUGCCUCGCCAGUCCUGCCCAUCCUGCUUGCUCUCUUCUGAGAAGCCCAAUAACGGUACGGAAUUCCAGUACAGGGUAUGGAAGCCCAGUUUGGCACAGUGGUGCUUUGCAAGGCAGUGGCUGUGCUGGAGCAGUCCCCAUAACCAAGCGUGCUGUCUGCCAUCCACUUCUGGCUGUCUGUUCCAGAUGUUUCUGUGUUUAUCAUCUAUUUAUCACUUCAACAAAACCUUUUCUGGUGUGCAAGAAAAGGUUUAGAGGCACUGCUGGGAUCUCUCCCGGAUUACAGCUGCGUAGUGCAGAGCAGUCUUUUUUCUGUGUCCCAUCACCUCUUGGCCUCACUACUUCAUUGUUCCACUGGAGUGAACCUGAAUUGUUUCCAGUUUCCUCUGAUUCUCUCUUGCCUUGUUUCAUGUAAGAUUUUUGUAACCAAGUGGCAGCUGCUGCUUCAUCAGUGGAUCUCAUGCUGAGAUCCACACUUCCCAAAUCUGACUUUGCAUCCAUUACCAUCACAGGCAUGCUGCUCUUCACAUUGCUGCUUCCUCACCAACAACCUCAUUCUCUUUUAACUUUUCUUGGAGGCUUUUUGGCACAACUGUCAUCCAACUGCUUCCUUAUUUUCCCCUCUCCUAUUCUUUACUUAAUAAGAAGAAAAUUCAGGAUAUUGUUUUAGUAGCACUAUGGAAGUUUCCCCUAAGAGAUGUCUGAUCCUGGACUUCUUUGGUAGUUGCUCUGAGAACAGUUACUGGGCAGUUUAGCUAAGCAAAGCGUUGCCUCUUGAGUCAGGAAAGGAGGAAAAAAGUGUCCCACUGAAACACCAAGAGCUGAUGGUGGGAGAAGCACCUGUUGUGUUGGCUGUGCCAUUCUCACAGCUAGUGUUUGUCUUUAGCAGCUGAGCUCAAGAAAUUAAGCGUAUGUAUUCAUGAUGCUUUUGGUCCUACACAGUAAGCUACACAUCAUACUGGUAAAGGGUGAAAGGGAGCUGCUGGAAGUGGAAACUGGCUUAUAAGACCAGGAAGGUGCAAAGAGCUGGGUGUCCUUCCCGCAUCAUCACACACCUCUCUUUCAAGCUGACCCCUAAUUUCACCUCUUUCCAAAGCAGUCUUGGCCUCAUAGCUCUCAGGGACUUGAAGGUAAAAAAAGGGUAUCUGCAGUUCUCAUCCUUCCAUUCGAGGUGUUGUGGUUCCUUUCAGGUGACCCUUCUGUCUCUAAGAUCACAAGGUCUUACUAGAAUAUGACUGGAGCUUGGUCAUGUUGCUCAGCAGUCCCAUCCUAUUGCUGGGUUAGGGUGUUACAAUGGGAUUUUAAGGAACUGGGUUCAAUAGACCAUCCAGGAGAUGUUUUAUGUGGUGUCAGGACCCCGAAUAUGGGACGCUCUCCUUCUCUUAUUCAACAUCCAUCCAUUUCUCUGCUGUUCUUCCAACACCUGCUGUGCUUGGCAGCCCCAAGGGAUGGCUGCGCUGUUUGGGACUGCCCCGGCCCUGCAGGGUGGGCUGUGUUCUUCAGGGACUGCAGGGUUUCACUCUAAAAUGAGACAGUGCUGAGCAGAGAGCUGUCCUGAGGGUGGCUCAGAGCUGCCCCUAAACUUCUCUGAAGAUGUUCUGGAUUUGAGCUGCAGAACUUAACAAACAAACAAACCCACCAAAAUACAGGGGUUUUUUAGGUUGAAAAAUUAAAAAAAAAAAAGAAAAAAAAGGUUUUAACAGAGUUUCCUUGCAGGCUUUGUUCAGGCUGGUCUUUUCUGAUCUGCUGGUAUAUUAAUGAGCUUUUAUUCCCACCCAGCACCUGACACUUGCUUCCCAGAUCCCUGGUAGGAAUGGGGUGCAGCCCCUGCACAGACAUCCUGUUCACCAUCUGCAGAGAGGGUUUUGCACAGUAAAUGCAGAGCAGGGAGCUCCGGUGUUGCUGUGUGCCGUAUGCAAGCUGGCAGAGGCGAGCACAGCCCCUUCAGGUGAAGAAAUCAGAACCAUCAGAAGGGCUCUGGCCAGGGGCAGAAUCAAAGCAGCGUAGCGUUCUGUUUUGUUUUCUCAUGGUUUCAUUUUGGACUGUCUGUACGCUCAAGCGUUGAGUUUCUGUCCUUUGAGCCACGCUGCUUUUCUGCAGUGUCUGUGCUGCACUGUGCUACGUAGAGGGAGGGGAGCUGAGCCCCCGACUGCCCCCAGCCCCUUCCUAUGCUGGGGGGGAGGUCUGUCCCAUAGGGUGGAAGGAGGAGGAGCUGUCACAGCACAGCUCUGAUGCUACCCUCUGGUGCUGGUGUCCUUUGAACCUCUGUGUCGCGAUAGCAUGGACCCCAGUGAACAUGGAGAGGUACACGAAUCACUGAGAUAGGGUGAGCCGUGCAGCUGUCCUGCAGGGUGGCAGAGGCACAGUGUGUUGUGGGCACGUUUGUACAAAGCAAUUAAAAGUGGGCACAGCUACACUGAGAGCAGGAGGGGUCUGCAGCUGCCGAGUAACAGGCGAGGUGAUGCAGAUUUCGGAUGCUAAGUUUCGGAAGCGAGUGGUCCCUAGGGUCCUUAAAUAGUUGUUCUCAUGUUAUUUUAUUUUAAUGUUUGGGUAAGAUCAAUAAAACAAAGAUUUUUCACAUAUUUCAGGAAAGUUUUUUUUUCCCAGUGUAUUCUAAAUUGGAAUAACUGAAGCUGUUUUUCCUUUUGGCUUAGUUUAUCAUUAUGUAUGUGCUUAAGAAACAAACAAAAAAAAAAACCCCAGCCAUUGAGAGCAUCCCCUCGUGAGCUUUUCUACCCAAAGCAGCAGCUGAAUGGUAGAACAAACUGCUUAUUGAAGCGAGGUCCUCCAGGAAACAAAACCCUCUGAGAAGCGGUAGGAUUUGGGGGUGGGUUUAUUUUUCUGUGUAAGACACGGCUUUUUGUGAACUGCUGACGGUGUCCCCGUGGCUCAGCUGCUGGAGCUCAUAUUUUUAUGUAUAUAUUUGUACAUACGGAUGCGUUUGUCCCAGCACUGCCCGGAGGGGUGCUGUGCUGUGCUGUGCAGUGCAGUGCAGGACGAGGCACCUUGCACUGAAGCUCAGGGCAGAAGUGCUGUGGGGAAGGGACCAAAUUCACACCUGGCACAGGAAAACACCGCUCCCUUUUUUGCUCACCUCGUGGUUUUGUCACCCCAAGUGCUUUAAUACCGAUAUUUGGCAGCAAAUCUCGUCUUACUCUGUGCCCUUUGCCGUAGCUCCGCACUUCCCAGUGCUGGUGCUGAGCACCACGCGGGUCGUUACAGCAACCAAAAGCUUAGCACUCGUCUUACACGGUUAUCGCACCCCAUUUGUUUUCUACUCUAAAAAGAAAGCGGUGAAAGAAAAUAGCAAAACUGAGCACAGCCUUCCUGCUCCCAGCGCGGCCGCAGACCUGGCGCAGCGUUCGGCUCCAACCAUUUCUCUGUUUGGGUGGAAUUUCCGCCACGGAACGGUUGGUGUUGGCCAUGGGAGGUGGGUAGGAGUAGGAGCUGCCACUCGGAACCUUGAGAAGCGCUGCGUUCGGAGCCCUUCUUCUCCCUGUUCUCAUUUCCAAAGGGUUGGGCGACCUGUCGGCGGUUCGGCCGAGCGUUCUCAGUUGGUCGUUGAAGACCAGUUGGUCUCAGUUGGUCGUUGGGAAGAACUUGAAACCAGUCAGGACAAACCUUGAUCUGCCAGUAUGAAUCACACUGUACUCCUUUUCUUGAUUUAAUUUCCCUUAUCUUCUGUAAUCUUUUGUUUAUGAAUUAAUCUGUUUGUGGGACAGAAGGUUUUACCGAUUGUUUUCCGUUCUGUACAGUAUACACGGUUAAACAUUUUGUAUAUUUAGUGUGUUUUUAAGUUAUUGGUUUGUUUUAUAUCAAAUAAUUUAUUUUUCAGGUACCAUUUUCAUUUACGCUUUGUUUUUACAUGGGUUUAUUUUAAAUAAAGUAUGACACUGCUUUCCAAAUGUCUGAAACGAAGUGGAAUCCCAUUGUGUUAUUUUGAGAGUAUUUAUGUAAAAAAACGUAUUUUAGAAAGAGUUGCAAAAAUGUACCAAUUCCUUUUGCCCUUCAGCUCAAGUGCUUGGGAAUUCUCCGCUAUUGAUUUCUUUUCUUUUCAAGUGGCUUGAAAAGCUGGGAUUCUCAGAUUGAAACAGUUGAAAGAUGGGUUGAACGCAGCAGCACUUUUGUAGAAUCCUGUGGAUGGAGUGUUGUUUUCUUAUGGUAUUUUCAAAAUUAAAGGAAACAAAGCCUCGAUCCCUCACCCUCGUUUUAAUAUAAAAUUUAAUUUAAUAUGAAAAAGGUUUGGGUUUUUUUUUUUUUGUUAAUUGUUGGCCAACACGUUCCUUGCUGGUUUUGUUAGCUCCUUAUUUAUACCAUGUUUGUCCUGUUCCUCGAUGAGCUGUGGUGGAAGCUGAUGUAUUGCGCAGCGGUGUCGAGCUUUUACGUAAUGGUUCCUCCUUGGUUCUUCUCCUGCAGGAAUUGGGGUUUCUUUGUGCAAUUUGGAAUUCUGAUGUUUUUUUCAGAGUAAUAUGAACUGUGUUUGCAGUUGGGUGGAUUGAGUUUGCUCUGCUAAAGCUUUUGUUACGCGAUGAGAAUGAUGGAAUUAAAAGAAGGCACAGGGCUGACUUUUUACCUUUCAGGAAAAGUUGUUCUCUCCAUCUUAGGACGCUUAUCCCGCUUGAUAAAAAAACUAAAUAAAAUAAUAAUUACAAAAGAGCACCGACACCAAACCAGGCCCCAGCUAUAGGCCAUUUGGGGUUGGUUGGUUGGUUUUUUUUUUUUGCACCUUUUGGACAAAGCCCUUGGGAUGCAGUGCUCCUCCAUCCCCAGGGUCGGGCAGCACCUGGUUGCUCUGGUCUGGGAAGGGUUGGCCCAGUGGGGUGUGCAAAGCGCUCAUGAAGCUGUGCUGGAGGGCCCUGCUGCUGUGCUGCCAGAGCUGCGUGUGCCCCAUGCCUGGAGAUGCCCGAGGCCACGGAGAGCUGAUAGUGUGUCCCUGCCUGGGGUUGGGACUGAUCAGCCCCUCUCCUCCUUCCACCCCAACCAUCCUACGGAAGGCAUAGUGCUGCCAGAUCAGCUCGGAGCUUUGCAGAGCUGCGUUUUCAGUUCUUGCUGCUACAGAAAUGGCCCGGUCUCCCAGUGCUUACCAGAUUGAAAUUGUUCUUCCUGCUGGAGUUUAAAGAGCAGAAAUAGGCAUUUUUGGUUGCUGCCUAUCGAACAGGUUAUGGGAUGUGCAAUAUCUAUUGCAAACAGGAGCUCGUAAUCCCCAGCACAGAAUUUUAGAUGUUUCCUGGCUUCUUUGCAGCAGAACUGCAGCACCUUCAGUGUGAUUCCUCCCAAAGGACAUUACCCCGAUGGGGUUGCUUUGCCCUGGUUCAUACCAGCAACCUUUGUAUCUUUCAAUUCCAUGAGAAGCAAUAAGAGAAAACAUACACUGACAACCAGGAGGUUUUGCUACGAGACAUGCCCAUCAGGUUUGUCCCCCCUGUCAGAAAUGGCCAUUUUUACAAAGAGAAAAAAAAAUCCCAAUCUAGUCUGGCCACAUUAACCCUCGGGUGCAGAUAACUUGGGAUGGAGGUUCCCUCCUGCAGCUCUCCCCUUGGCUGCGGGCUGUGCCAGAGGCUGUUGGUGGCUCAUAGUGCUGUGCUUCUCUGCUGUCACCACCAGAUCUCCCAGAACAGUGAUAGAUGACACUGAUUGCUGUCUCAUUGGUACUCUGCUCUUUAAAAUAUAUAUAUAUUUUUUCCAUUUGAAUAGUACCUCUAUUACAUAAUGCAGUUAAUGUUAUUUUUUGCGGAUUGAUUGACUUCUCUCUGCAGAGCUGCAGCUGGACUGCUCCUCAUGUCCACCCAGGAGCUGACGCAGAGCUUCACCAACUCACGUAAAGAUAGCUGUGACUCUUCGUGCAUUCCCUGAGUAACCAGCAGACUUCUGACACAUCCUUUAACUCAACUUCUAUUUGAAUGUGUUGGAACAGAUCCUGCUCCCAAGCUCAGCCCAGUGCAUGCUGCAGAGAGCAGAGGAGAGCAGAGCAGAAAUGGUUUGGCUUGGGAGCAGUGUGGGGUCGGUGUGAGCGGUGCUGGGCUGCAGCUCAUGUGCCACAGGAGGAGUGUGUGCUCACACUCUCCAGACCUCAGCAUGGUACUGCAGUUCACGUUGGCUCUGGUAAGUAAGUCCCCGUGCUUUUCUGAAAGCAAACAGGUUUGGUCUUGGCCCAAGCAGAAGUGUAAAAUUGGGGUGAAGUGUUUUUGUGAGCACAUAUCCUACCUGACAUCUCUUUGUCUCAGUUUGUCCCCUCUGUUUUGCAUCUGACACGAGUCUUCAUGUGUGUGUGUAUGCAUGUGUUAAAGUGUAGGUUGUCGUUAUAGAUGGUUUAUUUACAACAUGCAUUUAUCUCAGUUGCAUAUAUUGAUGCGUUCUGUGCUCUAUGUGCACACGUACACUGUUCCACAUUCAUACACAGUGUGAAGGUAACUUGCAGAAUCACGUACAUCAUCUUUUUUUAACAGAAAACUUGAAGUAAAAAUAUUUGCUUUUUAUACAAUAAACUCGUACAAAGAUAUAUCCUUAAAAAUCUGAGCUUUUGUCAAACUUCAGAGUCACGAAGAUGUUCGGUAACAGCAGCGCAGUAAUGUGACAAGCAGGAGACAGAGCUUUAAGAGAACAUGGUAUCCACAUUUCUCUAAAACUUCUCAAAAUAACUUCAGACACCUCCAUCUCGUGCAUCAUCUGGUGACACACAGCAUCGCUGCUCUUCAGGAAUUGCUUCCCAUUUGCUUCUCCCCAGGAUCAGAAUGCUGUCACCUCUUUGAGAACUGGCAGUUAGGAAAUGAUGCUUGCUUCUUUUUGGGCCAGCUUUUCUAUUUUAUUCCCUAUUAUUACAAUAUUUUCUGGGCCUUAAUACUCUCAUUCUUUCUUACUGCAGGAAUGGAAGAAGGAAGGCGGCUCAGCUUCAAGAACAUCUGUGAGUGGCAGAGAUUUGGCCUCGCACACCAGCGUGGUUUGGAGUGCCUGGCUGGCCCUGCUCCCCAUCCCUGGAUUCUGGGAUGGACACCUAGAUGCUGCUGGUGGCCAUGGGGAAGGGACAUUGGGCCCGAGUUCAGCUCUUGGUGUCCAUGUAAUGAGUACUGAGCUUGCCAGAACAGCUCUGCUGUCCCCCUCCGAUCUCCCAGUUCCUCUGUGAGCAUGCAUUCUGGUCUGUGGGGAAGGAACAGCGUGAAGCUGAUUCAUUUAAGGCCAUGUCCAAGGAAGGAAGAGAAAGAGAAAAGGACAGGCUGGGUUGAAUUGGUGAAAUUUAGGCAGCCUGACAUCAUCUGAAGUUCGUGAAACCUGCCUUCUGCAGAGCACAGCUGAGUGAUGGUCUUGCAGCUGCUGGGGUUCGGUGCAGCAAAAGAAAGGUGCUGGGUUGAGGAGGCUGUGCAGGACGGUGCUGAGUGAGUGGGAGAGCUCCUCCAUUUUGCCUUUGCUUAGCACUGGGGGUGUCACCCCUUCCUAAGCAUUGUCUUGCAGAAACCAAGGCAGGAAGAUGGGGUGAUGCCCAAGGAGAAGCUCCUUGCAGCAGCUGUGGCUUCCUGCCGUUGGUGCUCGUAGCUGUGUGGAAGCUCAGUGGCUCAUUAAAACACCACGUUGUCAUACUGCUUUAAUGUUUUCAUUAUUUUUUUAAGAAUAACGAGAGGAUUUUUAGCAGUUCCUAUCCUGAUAAAAACCCCAAAGUGUUCAAGUGUCGUAGGCUCAAAUAAGAGGACAUGGGUAGCCAGUGGGUGGCUGGGAGAUUGGCUUGGGAGCAGGCCAGCCAUGAAAGAUGCAGAAGAUGGGGAAGGAUGACACGCUGGGAGAACACUGUAUUUUGCAAAAGCAGAGGUGAUAAGAAUAAGGGUAAGUGCACGGAGCUGGCUACAAUUGCAGAUGCAAAGCAGGAAAGAGAAUGUGCUCUGAGGUGUGUGUGUGUAAUUAGAACAAGGAAGAAAUGUUUUAAUUAGUAUGGGUGGUAAGUUUUGAGUAGAAAGUAGCAGUGAUAGGUGUAUGGGUAAUAGAGGAUGUGGCACACGUAACUUUAACCCCAUCCAUCUUGUCUCUGCUCUGCAACAUGUUUCUAUAGGCUGAAGCCAGGAAACAAAGGCUCCAUGCUGUGCUGAGCUCUGAUGGCUCCAUCCUUGGUCUCAGCGAGGGACAGCAGGGAAAAAUGUUACCCAAGUGUUGGAUAGCACGUUUAACAAUGUGGAGAAGUACUGGAAGUGGAAAGUGCUGUAAGAAAAAUGGCAGUGGGGGAAGCUAAGCAGGAGAUUCUCACCUGGGAGGACACAGCAGUUUGCUUACCUUCCUGGAACACACCUUCAGUUUUUCUUUGCGUUGAAAUAUCACAUGUGCUAUGAAACCCUGAGAUGGAAGUUGCUUGGAGAUCCCAUAGCUCUGAACUUCCAGCCAGGAGAGGUGCUCAGGAGGCAUGAGAAGUGUUGGUGUUCUUGCACAGUCAUCCAGAGGAGCUCACAGACAGGUGUGCAUGUUCAGGAAUUGGAUGCACGGCUCUGACCGGCGAUUACAUGCAUGGAGAACCCCUCUCUUAAGAGGUGACCCAGCUGGAAAUUGACGAGGGAACCUUAGCAGUGGAAAAAUCCACGUGGUGGAUCAAAGAAGUGUGCUUCACAGUGCCACAAGCAUGCAGGAGUGAAGAUAAGAUAAUAAAUGAUGCAGUCCAUGUAUAUGUGCUGUGUCUGUGUGCUUUGGUUGGGGGAUGCAGGAAGCUGGGAAUCGGGGAGUUCUUCGUGUGAGGGGUGGAUCUGGCAGUCCGCAGCCUUGCCAUGUGCUCCGUUGUGGGAGCAUAGGGGGAGGAUGUUGGUGGGGACUUGGCAACCUGGAUGCAUUAGCUUGUGUCUGUGUCACCCUCAGGGCUUUGUUGUGCUGGCUGCGUGGAAGGGAGGCCAGAAACCGUGAACCACUGGAGCAGUUCAGUGGUUUUGUAGCUGAAGAUGAAACUGUAGUGGGAGUGAGGAUGCUGCAGAAGGAGGCAUUCUGUAGAACUGCCAAAAUGUUCAACCUCAGCUUAAAAGAGCUGCAGUGGGAAUUCCACAUCACACUGCAGUGAUGGUGGCAGUCAGCUGAGGACCUGUGAUGUUCAUCACUGGACUGAAGUUCUCAGAAUUUCCUUUGUAACGAUGGCUUCAAUUCAUCUGUUCCUGCAAGGCGGUUCUGGUUGGGCUUGGUGUGCUUUGUCCCAGCUGUCAGCUCUGGGAUGUGUGUCCUCUUUUUGAAACAAAAACAUUUUCUACAGCGGCAUCAAUGCUGUGCACUUGAAAUCCACUCUGAGCUGCUGUUAGACUGGGAAAAAAAAAAAAAAAAAAAA